AAAACCUUCCAAAAAUACUAUGCGGUACGUACAACAUCGGCAAAAUGGACUGAGGAUGAAAUGACAGUAUGAGUAAACUCCAUGGAAAAGAAUGCAAGAGUAGCAUUAGGUGUUCGUUUUCAGAUAGCGUUAUUGACCACAAUAAGAACCUUCUUUGGAAAACGAUAACAGCAAACGUUAAUGCUGUAACUCUUUCCAAAACUCCACGACAAGACAAAGAUGUCCGAAAAUAAGUGGUUUGACCUUCAAACUUCUUCCAAAAACGUAGUUUCCGCGUGGAGGUUAGAAUGCCAAAAAAACGAGGGUGGCAAAGUCUGUGUUGCCAAACCUACAAAACGCCACUACAAAAUCAUCUCAAUUAUUGGGGAAGAAGCCGUAAAGGAUAUCGAAGGAGCCCAUAAUAUGGUUUUGUCCAACGGUAAAUGUAUUUUAUAUUGCUAUAAUAUAAAAGUACGAAACUUACUCAAAAUAUACAAGUGUUUUGGACUGAAACAUGAACGUUGUUUACUAAGUUUCAGAAGAUAGCAUCUGCGAAAUAUUACAACCCUGCACAAGUAUACUUGUAACUCCUGUACCGACGCUUCCUCAACCAUUAGAAUUGGUUCCUAACUCUCCUGUUUAAAUGCCCCUGAUAUCCACUGAAAUGAGCCCGGUCACUACUGCUUCGUAUUCGAGAGCCAGCUCUUUCGAAGAGCCACCGGCAAAGCAACAGAGAAGGGGAACCACGUAAACCGACGCUCAAAUAGUUGACUUGCAGAAGUCUAUAUUGGAUCAAAUCACAACAAUCUCUUCCACUCUUGUUGAAAU
This is a non-coding RNA of Ciona intestinalis (vase tunicate), 807 nucleotides long. NCBI's taxonomy places the organism in Eukaryota, Metazoa, Chordata, Ascidiacea, Phlebobranchia, Cionidae. The record is from RefSeq and is a predicted model, not a curated record.